GCUGCUUACCUGCAGUCGAACGAUGAAGGAAGCUUGCUUCUGGAUUAGUGGCGAACGGGUGAGUAACACGUGAGUAACCUGCCCUUGACUCUGGGAUAAGCACUGGAAACGGUGUCUAAUACCGGAUACGAACCUCAGCCGCAUGGCUAGGGGUUGGAAAGAAUUUUGGUCAAGGAUGGACUCGCGGCCUAUCAGCUAGUUGGUGAGGUAACGGCCCACCAAGGCGACGACGGGUAGCCGGCCUGAGAGGGUGACCGGCCACACUGGGACUGAGACACGGCCCAGACUCCUACGGGAGGCAGCAGUGGGGAAUAUUGCACAAUGGGCGAAAGCCUGAUGCAGCAACGCCGCGUGAGGGACGACGGCCUUCGGGUUGUAAACCUCUUUUAGUAGGGAAGAAGCGAAAGUGACGGUACCUGCAGAAAAAGCACCGGCUAACUACGUGCCAGCAGCCGCGGUAAUACGUAGGGUGCAAGCGUUGUCCGGAAUUAUUGGGGCGUAAAGAGCUCGUAGGCGGUUUGUCGCGUCCUGCUGUGAAAACCCGAGGCUCAACCUCGGGCCUGCAGUGGGUACGGGCAGACUAGAGUGCGGUAGGGGGAGAUUGGAAUUCCUGGUGGUAGCGGUGGAAUGCGCAGAUAUCAGGAGGAACACCGAUGGCGAAGGCAGAUCUCUGGGCCGUAACUGACGCUGAGGAGCGAAAGCAUGGGGAGCGAACAGGAUUAGAUACCCUGGUAGUCCAUGCCGUAAACGUUGGGAACUAGAUGUAGGGGCCAUUCCACGGUUUCUGUGUCGCAGCUAACGCAUUAAGUUCCCCGCCUGGGGAGUACGGCCGCAAGGCUAAAACUCAAAGGAAUUGACGGGGGCCCGCACAAGCGGCGGAGCAUGCGGAUUAAUUCGAUGCAACGCGAAGAACCUUACCAAGGCUUGACAUAUACCGGAAAAGUUCAGAAAUGUUCUCCCCGCAAGGUCGGUAUACAGGUGGUGCAUGGUUGUCGUCAGCUCGUGUCGUGAGAUGUUGGGUUAAGUCCCGCAACGAGCGCAACCCUCGUUCUAUGUUGCCAGCACGUAAUGGUGGGAACUCAUAGGAGACUGCCGGGGUCAACUCGGAGGAAGGUGGGGAUGACGUCAAAUCAUCAUGCCCCUUAUGUCUUGGGCUUCACGCAUGCUACAAUGGCCGAUACAAAGGGCUGCAAUACCGUAAGGUGGAGCGAAUCCCAAAAAGUCGGUCUCAGUUCGGAUUGAGGUCUGCAACUCGACCUCAUGAAGUCGGAGUCGCUAGUAAUCGCAGAUCAGCAACGCUGCGGUGAAUACGUUCCCGGGCCUUGUACACACCGCCCGUCAAGUCAUGAAAGUCGGUAACACCCGAAGCCAGUGGCCUAACCGCAAGGAAGGAGCGUCGAA
This 1401-nucleotide ribosomal RNA is filed under the name Glaciihabitans sp. Its description in RNAcentral is "bacterial SSU rRNA". It matches the Rfam family "Bacterial small subunit ribosomal RNA". Lineage: Bacteria; Bacillati; Actinomycetota; Actinomycetes; Micrococcales; Microbacteriaceae. The record is from RNAcentral.